This 445-nucleotide long non-coding RNA is filed under the name Zalophus californianus (California sea lion). RNAcentral's name for it is "lncRNA (ENSZCAG00015009888.1)". Lineage: Eukaryota; Metazoa; Chordata; Mammalia; Carnivora; Otariidae. The record is from RNAcentral.
CUGGGGGGUCAUUGUGUCCACCCUUCUCCGCUCCUUAAGUGCUGGGAACAAUCAAAUGAGGUGGUACAAGUGUGAAGUGCACGGAUGUGGACUGUCAUGGAGUAAAUGCAGACCGAGGGGAGACUGUUCUUUCUAAAGAGGCAGCAGGGACAGCCACAGAGCUAGUCGUGGUGACAUGGUUUCAUCCCGGUUCUGCCCCACGGUCUCUGCAGGAGGGAGGCCAGAAGAACCUCGAGGGGCAGAGGAAGAUUUUUCCUCCUCAGUAGUUGGCCUAACUGGCAGAAUAGACUUCCCUGGCCAGAGACGCUGCAGAGGAGAGAUCCUAGGACGAACCGCCCAGCAGAGGACUUGUGGCGAGUCACCUGGCGAGUCAAAUCCGGGUCAGACAAAAGCAACCGGACCCACGCUGACCGACUGCUGUGAGGAGCAGGCUGAUGGGAAGCUG